Molecule: small RNA, 28 nt
Filed under: Bombyx mori (domestic silkworm)
Lineage: Eukaryota; Metazoa; Arthropoda; Insecta; Lepidoptera; Bombycidae
Description: ovarian small RNA-7367
Source: RNAcentral
UCCUAGCCGCGACGUACCCGGGUCCCCU